This is a long non-coding RNA of Quercus robur (English oak), 2197 nucleotides long. RefSeq lists it as uncharacterized. Lineage: Eukaryota; Viridiplantae; Streptophyta; Magnoliopsida; Fagales; Fagaceae. The transcript has 4 exons. The record is from RefSeq and is a predicted model, not a curated record.
UCUGCCGGUUAAAAUAAAAUAAAAAAGCGUUUCAACUAGAAGACCCUAGCGACACUGCGAUACAGAGAAAAGGAAGGAGAAAAAAGAAAACCUUGCGCCACGAGGUGGGUUCUUUCUAAAAUCUUUGACAGCUCUUUCUCUCUCUGUCAAUGGCAGACAAGAAAUUAGGGUUCUUCACUAUAAAAGACCAUCAGAUCCGUAUCCUCCAUCGUGGUUGCUGGAAAUUUUUUGGGUUUUUCUCUUAACUGGCACCAGUAAUAGAGAGAUGCAGAUAUAGAGAAAUGGAGAGACAGAAAUAGAGAGAGGUAGAUACAAUCCGUAAGCAAUAGGGAUUGAGAUUGAGGAUCAGCACUACUCCGUGACCAAUAUAAUUGGAACUAAACACAGACUGAUGAAAGAUAGAUUUAUGAUGUUCACCAGGUGUUUUCAAGAAAUAUUGCUGGAUAAAACUGGCAGUUUCUUUCAGCAAGAAUAGUUACUCAACCAAGCAAGGGAGGAGAGUUAGUCAAGGAGCCAAUUUGUAAGGUAUUCUUAAAGAAAAUUAAAACUUAAAUAAAUCAACAAUGGUCUCUUCAAAACCCCUUUGCUAUCAGCCUUCAACAUUCUUUGGUUUCUAAAACAUUCAUUGGCUUUAAUAUACUAAUCAAAACAGAAUUUUGUCCAAUAGAUUCACCAGUUUUCUCACAUUGUCUCUCUAUAAUUACCCCCUUUUUGUCUCUGUCUCUGUCUCUGUCUCUCUCAUGUUUUUGUUAGGGUAAUGUUUGAAAGAACAUUAAAUGUCUUUGUGUGUGGUUUAUCUUUAGAAUGAAUAGAUUAUGACUUUGGGAAUUUACGUUUUGACUUAAGUGGUUUAUAAAUAAAGGGGUCUUGAAGCUUAUUUUAUCAUAAUUUACCACAAAUCAAAUUUUAUCUAGAAUAUAAAAAAAUCAAUUGAUAUUGUAUAACCUAUUAUCUAUACCUUUAAAAGAAAGGUUUUUCAAAGGAUUUUUUUUGCCCUGUUUGAAGCUUCUCAAUGGGUAUCACUAGGCCUUGAAUACGUUGUGUUCUGUUAGUCUAUCCGCUCUUUUUUCUCUGCCCAUCUCCUUCUCCAAAACCACAUUAUAACCUCCAUUUUAUUUGGUAUGUGAUUUUACUAAUAAGCUUUGGCUUUGGGAUUUUUGUUUCAUUUGCCAAGUUCUAUAAAAUGAGCAAUGUGAGUUUGAAGGUUCUGUUUUGGUUAUCUUUGUGUUUGUUCUCUAUUUGUUUGUUUAAAUUUCUCAAUGAAUAAAAUUUGGUCUAUGGAUCCAAUUUGUUAAAAAGAUUUCUUCUUCAAAAUGUUAUUUUUCUGCACUAUUCUUCUACAAAGAAUCUGCACUGCUACACAUCUAAAAUCUUCGCUACAUUGUUUCACAAAAUCUACAUUGCACUGACUCAUAAAAAGUCUGCACUGCACUGCACUAUUUCAUUAAAUGUACUCUGUUUUGAAUAACUAUCUGCACUUUUUAAAAAUAACUUUUGUCUUGGUUAUCUUUGUGUUUUUUCUGUGUGUUUGUUUAAAUUUUUCAGUGAAUACGUAGAACAAAUAUAGGUUCUAAUAAAUAAAAUCUAUAAACAUUUCCCAAAACCAUUCUUUGUUCUUAAAGGGAAUAAAUAUGACAAAGAAAUUGGACCUGAAUAAAACAGGACACGUAAUUUUUUAAAAUCAAUUAAAUUUCUUAAUCAAUUUUGACGCUGCAUUACAUGUCACUAAAACUAUCAAAGUUCAUAUUUUAAUGCAUAACUUAGUGGGAGAUUAAGAGAAAGAGAAACAAUAAAAUUUGAUAAAACAAAACCUGCAGUUGUCUUAAGACGUAUAUCGGUAAUUGAAAAAUAGCCAUCCUCAUUUGCUUUGCUCCAAGAUUCGUAUAUCUAACAUUGAUUCAUGUGAUUUAGAUUUGAGAUGGUAGAACUAAUUUCGCAUCUGUAUGUGUUCUUCAUUUGGAAUCAAUUUAACAUAUUUUUUUUAAAAGUUCUGAUAUGUCCAGGUAUGCAAAAAGAUCAUCAAUGGCUUGGUUUCUCACAACAUUAGACCCAUAAACUUUUAAGGGGGUUAAACUAUUUGACUUUUGGUUCAUUUUAAGGUUAUAAAUGUUAUUUUGAGCUAUGUACCUAAAUUUUUAUGAUGUUAUGAAGAAAACUAUUUGUUUUUCCACUUUUGUAAGUUUAAUUUUUUCCCGCU